UAACAAGGCCCAAGCUUCAUUUGCUGAAGGU
RNAcentral lists this non-coding RNA (31 nucleotides) under Rattus norvegicus (Norway rat). Lineage: Eukaryota; Metazoa; Chordata; Mammalia; Rodentia; Muridae. The record is from RNAcentral.